AUAUCAAUAAGCGGAGGAAAAGAAACCAACAGGGAUUGCCCUAGUAACGGCGAGUGAAGCGGCAACAGCUCAAAUUUGAAAUCUGGCUCUUUUAGAGUCCGAGUUGUAAUUUGCAGAGGGCGCUUUGGCUUUGGCAGCGGUCCAAGUUCCUUGGAACAGGACGUCACAGAGGGUGAGAAUCCCGUACGUGGUCGCUAGCUAUUGCCGUGUAAAGCCCCUUCGACGAGUCGAGUUGUUUGGGAAUGCAGCUCUAAAUGGGAGGUAAAUUUCUUCUAAAGCUAAAUAUUGGCCAGAGACCGAUAGCGCACAAGUAGAGUGAUCGAAAGAUGAAAAGCACUUUGGAAAGAGAGUCAAACAGCACGUGAAAUUGUUGAAAGGGAAGCGCUUGCAGCCAGACUUGCUUGCAGUUGCUCAUCCGGGCUUUUGCCCGGUGCACUCUUCUGCAGGCAGGCCAGCAUCAGUUUGGGCGGUGGGAUAAAGGUCUCUGUCACGUACCUUCCUUCGGGUUGGCCAUAUAGGGGAGACGUCAUACCACCAGCCUGGACUGAGGUCCGCGCAUCUGCUAGGAUGCUGGCGUAAUGGCUGUAAGCGGCCCGUCUUGAAACACGGACCAAGGAGUCUAACAUCUAUGCGAGUGUUUGGGUGUCAAGCCCGAGCGCGUAAUGAAAGUGAACGGAGGUGGGAACCCGCAAGGGUGCACCAUCGACCGAUCCUGAAGUUUACGGAAGGAUUUGAGUAAGAGCAUGGCUGUUGGGACCCGAAAGAUGGUGAACUAUGCUUGAAUAGGGUGAAGCCAGAGGAAACUCUGGUGGAGGCUCGCAGCGGUUCUGACGUGCAAAUCGAUCGUCAAAUUUGGGCAUAGGGGCGAAAGACUAAUCGAACUAUCUAGUAGCUGGUUCCUGCC
Molecule: ribosomal RNA, 904 nt
Filed under: Curvularia hawaiiensis
Lineage: Eukaryota; Fungi; Ascomycota; Dothideomycetes; Pleosporales; Pleosporaceae
Description: LSU rRNA
Rfam family: Eukaryotic large subunit ribosomal RNA
Source: RNAcentral